Molecule: unclassified non-coding RNA, 216 nt
Filed under: Hevea brasiliensis (rubber tree)
Lineage: Eukaryota; Viridiplantae; Streptophyta; Magnoliopsida; Malpighiales; Euphorbiaceae
Source: RNAcentral
ACAAAUUGUUAUCCUAUCACAGGUCCUAGCAAAUGAAGUCAACAUUGGAUAUGAGGAUAUGAGCAAUCAGCAGGUUUUGAAGUUCAACGGUACUCGAAUAAAAAACAUUCAUCACCUAGCCUACCUCGUUGAUUCAUGCAAGGACAGAUAUUUAGUGUUUGAGUUUGAAGACAACUAUAUUGCUGUGAUGGAGAGGGAAGCAGCUAGUGCCUCUGC